CAGCCGAGAGAAAGAAGAAAAUUCCAGAGAGAGAAGAGAGAGAGAGAUAUAUAUAUGGAAGCAACCAUAUUAAGGCCAAAUAUUCGAGAAAAGUGCGCUUUCUGAGUUCGUGAAGCGGAAAUUGUGAACCCUAACAAGUCUUUGAGAGCGCCGAGUUUACAGAAAUAAAUGGUGUUUUUGGAUCGGUGCGGCGGGAAAUGUGAAACUUAACAAGUCUUAUGAGGUGCAGCAUGAACCUAGUGAUUCUGUCUCUAGCAUUGGUUUCAGUCCAAGGUUAGAUGCUGGGAUGUCAUGAUAGCAGUCAGGCGAAAAGAGUCCUUAUAUCCAUGAGCAACUGGUCAUAUUCUGUGCUCUACAUUGAAGGAUGAUGAUUCCACAAUGUUUACUAGAGGAUGUGAUAAGAUUGAGAAACUGUGGCCCUUGACGUCUGGCGGCCAACUGAUACAAGAUGUAGUGCAUGAUGCAGGAUGAUGAUUCCACAAUGUUUACUAGAGGAUGUGAUAAGAUUGAGAAACUGUGGCCCUUGAUGUCUGGCGGCCAACUGAUACAAGAUGUAGUGCACGAUGCAGGAUGAUGAUUCCACAAUGUUUACUAGAGGAUGUGAUAAGAUUGAGAAACUGUGGCCCUUGAUGUCUGGCGGCCAACUGAUACAAG
Molecule: long non-coding RNA, 654 nt
Organism: Asparagus officinalis (garden asparagus)
Lineage: Eukaryota; Viridiplantae; Streptophyta; Magnoliopsida; Asparagales; Asparagaceae
Exons: 6
Source: RefSeq, a predicted model, not a curated record